GAUGAAGAACGCAGCAAAAUGCGAUAAGUGAUGUGAAUUGCAGAAUUCAGUGAAUCAUCGAAUCUUUGAACGCACAUUGCGCCCGCCAGUAUUCUGGCGUGCAUGCCUGUUCGAGCGUCAUUUCAACCCUCAAGCCCUCGGGUUUGGUGUUGGGGAUCGGCGAGCCUUUCUGGCAAGCCGGCCCCGAAAUCUAGUGGCGGUCUCGCUGCAGCCUCCAUUGCGUAGUAGUAAAACCCUCGCAACUGGAACGCGGCGCGGCCAAGCCGUUAAACCCCCAACUUCUGAAUGUUGACCUCGGAUCAGGUAGGAAUACUCGCUGAACUUAAGCAUAUCAAUAAGCGGAGGA
This 346-nucleotide unclassified non-coding RNA is filed under the name soil metagenome. RNAcentral describes it as "partial contains 5.8S ribosomal RNA, internal transcribed spacer 2, and large subunit ribosomal RNA". The stretch from base 1 to 120 matches the Rfam family "5.8S ribosomal RNA", at positions 35 to 154 of the family's 154-position model. The record is from RNAcentral.